RNAcentral lists this microRNA precursor (64 nucleotides) under Echinops telfairi (small Madagascar hedgehog). Its description in RNAcentral is "Ete-Mir-330-v1_pre stem-loop". It matches the Rfam family "mir-330 microRNA precursor family", at positions 18 to 79 of the family's 94-position model. The record is from RNAcentral. Lineage: Eukaryota; Metazoa; Chordata; Mammalia; Afrosoricida; Tenrecidae.
UCUCUGGGCCUGUGUCUUAGGCUCUGCGUGUUCGACCGAGCAAAGCACACGGCCUGCAGAGAGC